Molecule: small RNA, 36 nt
Filed under: Romboutsia ilealis
Lineage: Bacteria; Bacillati; Bacillota; Clostridia; Peptostreptococcales; Peptostreptococcaceae
Description: CRISPR spacer
Source: RNAcentral
GUUACAGAUAGAAGUCUUAAAUUAACAUUGAAUAAA